CCUACGGGUGGCAGCAGUGAGGAAUAUUGGUCAAUGGACGAGAGUCUGAACCAGCCAAGUAGCGUGAAGGAUGACUGCCCUAUGGGUUGUAAACUUCUUUUAUAUGGGAAUAAAAUGUUCCACGUGUGGGCUUUUGUAUGUACCCUAUGAAUAAGGAUCGGCUAACUCCGUGCCAGCAGCCGCGGUAAUACGGAGGAUGCGAGCGUUAUCCGGAUUUAUUGGGUUUAAAGGGUGCGCAGGCGGAAGAUCAAGUCAGCGGUAAAAUUGAGAGGCUCAACCUCUUCGAGCCGUUGAAACUGGUGUUCUUGAGUGAGUGAGAAGUAUGCGGAAUGCGUGGUGUAGCGGUGAAAUGCAUAGAUAUCACGCAGAACUCCGAUUGCGAAGGCAGCAUACCGGCGCUCAACUGACGCUCAUGCACGAAAGUGUGGGUAUCGAACAGGAUUAGAUACCCUGGUAGUC
Molecule: ribosomal RNA, 459 nt
Filed under: uncultured bacterium
Lineage: Bacteria
Description: partial 16S ribosomal RNA
Rfam family: Bacterial small subunit ribosomal RNA
Source: RNAcentral